UAUAGAUUGUUCUGCCUAUUUGUCCAAUAAUUUUAAAAAAGGAAAUGCCCUAAGGAAAGAAGUGACACAACACCGCAGCCAAGUAAAAAACCAAGUUUGGGCCCUUGUUCCAUUUCCCUCUGUACGGAUACUACAGUGCAGUCAACUGUAACAGCAACAACAGGUUUCAUCUCAAUUGCCCCAAUGUUUAUGGAACCAGCCAGUUCAACCGAGAUUAAACCAGGUGUUGCUGUUACCAUCCCAUCUACAACUACCACCAUUCCUGAGACUGCUAUUCAAGAAAACACUUCGACAACUGGCUGGGAAACUGACCUGAAAAAAAUUUGUUUUCCCCUGUUGUGGACCUACCAGAAGAUUGGUGAAAAUUUAUUUUCUUUGUUUCAAACGGCAAACCUCGACGGAACAAUCAAGAUUGUAAAAGGGAUAACUCUCAACCAAGAUUUUCUCAGCUACAGUGUCAACGGCAAAUGUUACACACCAAAUUUUUUUCCAAGCAGCGUCGCAACGGCUGUCGAAUUACAACAAAUUAUUGAGAAAUUUGAUGAAGCAAAAAUCUGCAUAGGUGUUUUCAUUGCGGAAAACUUAAAACUUACAUAGAAACUCCUUGAAAGAGGCACAUUUUAUAAAGAAGUGCAAAGUAGUAAUUACUGGAAAUCAAACCGAUGUGAAACACUACUAUUUGAUCAUACAGUGCAGGAAAAGUCCACAUCAUCAGUGCCAAAAAAAUGCAAAUCAUCUACAGUGCAGGAAGAAUUGAAAUCCUCAACAGUGCAGAGCUGUGGUUGUUGUCAAAAGUUGAAGGCUUAUGCAGCAAAAUGGAUGUGGAAAGAAAAAAAUCAAGGUUGUGGGAAAAUUGCGCGUUGUAGGAUGACUAUCAAGAAUUCAAAAAGAAUUCUGUCGCGCAAGUUUACAAAAUUGAAUGGACUUACAGCUGAAAUAACGGCUUUACAGAAGU
Daphnia magna is the source of this 955-nucleotide long non-coding RNA. RefSeq lists it as uncharacterized. The transcript is spliced from 2 exons. Lineage: Eukaryota; Metazoa; Arthropoda; Branchiopoda; Diplostraca; Daphniidae. The record is from RefSeq and is a predicted model, not a curated record.